Molecule: ribosomal RNA, 253 nt
Filed under: uncultured bacterium
Lineage: Bacteria
Description: partial 16S ribosomal RNA
Rfam family: Bacterial small subunit ribosomal RNA
Source: RNAcentral
UACGGAGGGUGCAAGCGUUAAUCGGAAUUACUGGGCGUAAAGCGCACGCAGGCGGUUGGAUAAGUUAGAUGUGAAAGCACCGUGCUCAACCUGGGAAUUGCAUUUAAAACUGUCCAGCUAGAGUCUUGUAGAGGGGUGUAGAAUUCCAGGUGUAGCGGUGAAAUGCGUAGAGAUCUGGAGGAAUACCGGUGGCGAAGGCGGCGCCCUGGACAAAGACUGACGCUCAGGUGCGAAAGCGUGGGCAGCAAACAGG